This 21-nucleotide microRNA is filed under the name Prunus persica (peach). Its description in RNAcentral is "microRNA miRNA_26". Lineage: Eukaryota; Viridiplantae; Streptophyta; Magnoliopsida; Rosales; Rosaceae. The record is from RNAcentral.
UGUUGGCCCGGUUCACUCAGA